RNAcentral lists this long non-coding RNA (760 nucleotides) under Homo sapiens (human). RNAcentral describes it as "HSALNT0316210". Lineage: Eukaryota; Metazoa; Chordata; Mammalia; Primates; Hominidae. The record is from RNAcentral.
GGCAACCGGAGUCCUUUUCCACACUGUGGAAGCUUUGUUCUUUUGCUCUUUGCAAUAAAUCUUGCUGCUGCUCACUCUUUGGGUCCACACUGCCUUUAUGAGCUGUAACACUCACCGUGAAGGUCUGCAGCUUUACUCCUGAAGCCAGCGAGACCACGAACCCACCGGCAGGAACGAACAACUCCAGACGCGCCGCCUUAAGAGCUGUAACACUCACCGCGAAGGUCUGCAGCUUCACUCCUGAGCCAGCGAGACCACGAACCCACCGGAAGGAAGAAACUCUGAACACAUCCGAACAUCAGAAGGAACAAACUCCGGACACGCCGCCUUUAAGAACUGUUAACACUCACCGCAAGGGUCCGCGGCUUCGUUCUUGAAGUCAGUGAGACCAAGAACCCACCAAUUCCGGACACAAGGGGAGCUGACUUUCAUUAUAAAGAUUUUCUCAUUGCAAAGUGAAAAAGAGAAUAAUAACUUUAAAACAAGGCAGAAAGUAAAGAGAACUGGAAGCGAGGAACAUGCUCUGAACUAGAACUGGCAACAUGAGAGAUGAGCUCAGGCUUCAAAAUGGUGUCUGCACUGGGUCUUGAAGGAAGAGCAGAGUUUGGGCAUUUAGAAACCAAGAAUUCCAGCCGGUUUCUUCAGACUGAUAACAAGAAUCAGCAAAAGUCUGAGAGCAGGAGUGCAGCUCAUUGGUACAGCAGCCAUAGUAAACAAGGAGGAAGGGAAUCCCUUCAUGAGGACAGGAGGGAAAGAAGGA